CAUGUUUCAUGUUCUCUCUCUUUUAUAGACUAGAAUCUUUAUUUAAAAUACAUUUGUACAUGGAGAAAACUGUUGUAACUCAUGUUGUAAUAUGUAUUCAUGAUGUGUUAAUAAUAACUCGCUCAUCAAAUCGUGUUAAAACUUUUUUUUUUUCUGAUAACUCGUGUUGUACUAUUGAGAGUGUAGUGUUGCGCACUUCUAAUGGUUGUUGUUUUAUAUAGGGAGAGAACGUCUGGAGUGAUCUGCAUGUGCUGGUAUUCUUUUUAUUUUCUGUUAAACAUGUAUGUUUCCGACUAGUUAUUUUGUGGUCUAAAAAAAAAUAUUGGAAAUUGUCAAAAUAAAAGGGGAAGCUGGAAGAAUUUACCAGUGAGGACAACGGCAUUUAAAUACUACUACUAUUAAACUGUAUCUGUUGGUAAUGUGGUUUCUUCUAGCAGUUUUCAAUCGCUAACGUUUAAUCGCUAACACCAGACUGAUGUGCUGUGACAGAGCGUUCAGUGCACACACGGCUAAUUUACAUAUUAAAUAUGUACAUUUUAAAUAAGCCCUGUUGUUUAAAUGUAAUAUAAACAGUUGGGCGGUUACUGCAGUCUGUCUGGGAUACAAAAAGUUAAAAAAAACUUUUAAGUUAAAAAAACUAAAAGCCUAGUCUUUAACCCAUUUUAUCUCCUGUGUGCGUUCAUGCCUGCAAGUCGAUAUUUAUUCUUUUCAAUGACCCAAUUAAAGUUUAUUGUAACGUAAGUACUACAUUUCAAACUACAGAAUGUUUGGCCAGUCAGAAACCGCAGUAUUGCCAUGCGGUCUAGUUUGACAAGCUGUUACGUCUGGUGUGAGAGUAGUAAGAGUUUUUAGCUUUCAAUCCAGUGAAAAAAUGUGGGUUGUUUGUUCAAUACUAGUACAUUACUAGCAAAGGGCGAUCAAGACGAAAUACCAUCAAAGAUUAAAAACGCCAAAAAUGUCUUGCGACUGAAGCUCUCUCCAAUUUCUCUGCCAUCAUCAGUGAUUUGUGUGGUAACAAGCAGGGACAUCCAUCACACUGAUACUAGAGUGCUGUGUAGGAAAGAAAUGUAUGGAAUAAAUACCAGGCAUGGAGGCGACAGACAGACAAGCCUCUAGUACCUCCAGGAUCAUUGUGGACCAUCAGUGAAUCAGUCUGAGGGCUUUCUCUGGGGAUUCAGGUAAUCCGAUCAAUUGACUAGCUCUGUUAAUACUUGUGGCAGGUACUGUAUCUAAACAAUAACGUUCAAUGUAGAAUGUAAUGUGGGUAUUUGGAACUGAUAAAUGGUAAGCAUUGUUAAAAUUUAAAACAUCUGGUCUCACCCUGAUAGCAUAACAGAGUAGUUAGUUUCAUGUUUACCUUCAUGCAUAACCCUUACAACCGAUCAUUACAUUUUCACUAGCAGGAAUAUGAAAACCCAUUAUAAGACAGGGUUAAGGAAAGACAAAGUGUCAACUGAAAGAGGCAAGGGGAAUAUAGGGAUCUGUGACAAAGAGAGUGAACUCUUGUUUUAGAUCUCCCUUCCGACGGAUGAGGGCACUGGGGAGGAGGAGCAGUCGGAGCCGCGGUGCGCAACGUCACAGACCCGGUCGGGAAGCGCGGUGGCAAUCACACAUUGGCUGACGGCGGUUGCCCUCGCUGACCAAUGGGGACAGGACGGGGCGUACAAAAGGGGGCGUGGCCCGGGGUUCUGUUCCUUCUGACAAAGUACAGUGUGUGUGUGUGAGAGAGAGAGAAACAGAGAUACAAACAGGGAAUUAAAGAGGGAGACGGGGAGCAAGGAAGCGGGUGGUUGUGAUUGUGCAUACCUGCUAACCUCUGUGUCUUUUUGUGUAUUUUAUAGAGCACUAACGGGACACUCCGGGAAUACGUCGGAGGAGUGCGAACCCGGAAGUGCUGGAUUUUUACCCCGUUGUUUUCAUUCCCGGAUCAAAGGGACGGAUUGACUUUAUUUUUGUGUUUCUCCUCGUUUGGGACUGCAACCCCUCGUUAUUGUUAUUUUGUCAGGUUACACAUUGCUGUGUACCCCGGCUCCCCUUUAUUUUGUUUAUUCUCCUUGACUUUUUGGUGCCCAUCUGAUGUUGGUUUUACAUUCAAUAAAACCGGGGGCUUGUUAAGGAAAA
Molecule: long non-coding RNA, 2121 nt
Organism: Acipenser ruthenus (sterlet)
Lineage: Eukaryota; Metazoa; Chordata; Actinopteri; Acipenseriformes; Acipenseridae
Exons: 2
Source: RefSeq, a predicted model, not a curated record